CCUACGGGAGGCAGCAGUGAGGAAUAUUGGUCAAUGGUCGGGAGACUGAACCAGCAAAGCCGCGUGAGGGAGGAAGGUACAGAGUAUCGUAAACCUCUUUUGUCAGGGCACAAAGACUGGGACGCGUCCCCGGUAGAGUGUACCUGAAGAAAAAGCAUCGGCCAACUCCGUGCAAGCAGCCGCGGUAAUAGGGAGGAUGCGAGCGUUAUCCGGGUUUAUGGGGUUUAAAGGGUGGGCAGGGGGUCUGUUAAGUCAGCGGGCAAAGCCCGGGGCUAAACCCCGGCCCGCCGUUGAAACUGGGAGUCUCGAGUUGGAGAGAGGUAUGCGGAAUGCGGGGUGUAGCGGUGAAAUGCAUAGAUAUCGCGCAGAACUCCGAUUGCGAAGGCAGCAUGCCGGCUCCACACUGACGCUGAGGCACGAAAGCGUGGGUAUCGAACAGGAUUAGAUACCCUUGUAGUC
Molecule: ribosomal RNA, 459 nt
Filed under: uncultured bacterium
Lineage: Bacteria
Description: partial 16S ribosomal RNA
Rfam family: Bacterial small subunit ribosomal RNA
Source: RNAcentral